Taeniopygia guttata (zebra finch) is the source of this 1629-nucleotide long non-coding RNA. Lineage: Eukaryota; Metazoa; Chordata; Aves; Passeriformes; Estrildidae. The record is from Ensembl.
CCUGCAGUGACAAGGAGAUAAAUUUUCACUUGGUCUAUGUGUCUGCUUUGACACUCAAAAACAUUACACACGUGUCCAACUAUGAAAAACAUGGCAGAGAUCAGCAGUGCUCAUCAGACAAGCCUUAGUCACCACAGAAACAGCUACUGGUGUAACCAUCUUCCCCUUGUCAUUUGGUACCACAUUUUAAGGCCUGAGAGGGAAAUCCUUUCACAAAAGGCAAAUGUACAUCAAUACUUGGAAAAGGGGAGAGGGACACAGCACUGUUAAAAGGCUGCAGACAAAAUAAGCUUUCAAAAUAUCAGAGAGUUGGGUAGAACAUCACAAUUUAUUUGGGUUUCUGUUUGUACAAGAGUGAGUUUGACACUAACUUCAUUUCUGCUUCCUGUGCAUUCCCCACCUUGAGCUCAUCCCGCUGAGAAUGUUCUCAGCUUUCUCAGAGCAAGCUGAAGAGCACAGAGGAUGGACUAGAAAUGAGCCAGAAGAUAUUUCAGAGGAGAAAACAACACAGAAAAUCCUUCUUUGUGCAGAGUAGUAGAAGAAAGGAGAAAACCUCCCUGCAAGGGGAAGCAGCAUCAUGCAUGUCUGAAGAGUACCAAACGAUACAGCAAAUGAAAGGCAAAACUGAAGAAAUACACAUCCAGAAAAUAUCCAAUAGGAUAAGCUGGAAUGAAAAGUCUUCUCAAGUUACCAGGGCCGGAGGUAAGAGGAGAAUUCCAAAGGUAUUUCCAUACAAGCAGCAUUAAUCACCCCAACAUCAGCUCCAGUUACCCAGGCAGUGCUGCACACCGCCUGAGUGCUGUGCAUGCACGUGAAUAUAUCCACCUGUGUACUGCCAUUUACUACAACAAAUCCACCAAAAAAGUCCACUCAGCUUGCAUAAGUCCUCCUUUUUAAGACCUUUGAAUUUUUGCUGCAACAGAAAUUUCCAGGUUUUUAACACCGAUUUCAGUCUGAUAUGCAAAGGAGGAGCUCAUAGUUAACUCAGUAGUAAAUUUUGCACCUAAAAGCCCAAAUUCAUUAUCAAUACAGAACAUUCUAGAGAAGAAAGCAUUGUUCAGAGUUUAUAUUCUCCAGUAAAAGGGGCACUAGGGAAAGACAAUUCAAUAUUUAAAGCACAAAAGACCAAAGCCUGGGGCAAGAGGACUGCCACUGUAGCUCCUUGCUGACAGGUCCAGGGGAUAGAGAAUCUCUUUGCUGCAAACACAGGGACAGCAAAUUAAUUUUUUCCCUCUCCUACUUUUUAGGAAGAUAUCAAGCCCAAAAUGCUCAAAGGUGGGGUAUUCCCCCCUUCCUCUAGAAUCCUGCAAACCAGUAGGAUUGCAACAUCUGCUUCCCCUCCUUUUUUUUUCUCUGAGUAUCUUUACCAUGUCAGAAGAAUGUGGUCACCAGAAGAGAGAGAAUUAAUUAACACUUGUCUUUUUACAGGAUGACUCAUGAGUAUUCAUUUGGUAGCUCAAAUGGACUUUGCCUCAUGAUUACAGAGGACUUCAGUGAACCAAAUAUUUCUAUUACCAAGUCACACGGUGCUUUAUAAAACAAUUGCCAAACAAAAGUGGAAAAAACAUAAUUGGCAAAAGAAGGGGCAAAGGGAAAGGGCUGCAGUGAUUUUCAAAGGCUUAAAUACAG